This 490-nucleotide ribosomal RNA is filed under the name uncultured bacterium. Its description in RNAcentral is "partial 16S ribosomal RNA". It matches the Rfam family "Bacterial small subunit ribosomal RNA", at positions 28 to 523 of the family's 1533-position model. The record is from RNAcentral.
GAUGAACGUUGGCGGCGUGGAUUAGGCAUGCAAGUCGAGCGAGAAGAGUUUGGUAGCUUGCUAUUGAACUCGGAAAGCGGCGAAAGGGAGAGUAACGCGUAGUUACGUGCCCCAGGGUUCGGAAUAGCCACGGGAAACUGUGGGUAAUGCCGAAUAACAUCUCCGGAUCAAAGGUGUGAUUCCGCCCUGGGAGCGGACUGCGUCCUACUAGCUAGUUGGCGGGGUAAUGGCCCACCAAGGCAACAAUGGGUAGCGGGUGUGAGAGCAUGACCCGUCUCACUGGGACUGAGACACUGCCCAGACACCUACGGGUGGCUGCAGUCGAGAAUCUUCGGCAAUGGGCGAAAGCCUGACCGAGCGACGCCGCGUGCGGGAUGAAGGCCCUCGGGUCGUAAACCGCUGUCGUAGGGGAGGAAGGCUCCAUGAAGAAUGGGGUUUGACCUAUCCUAGGAGGAAGUACGGGCUAAGUUCGUGCCAGCAGCCGCCGUAA